UACAGAGGGGGCUAGCGUUGUUCGGAAUUACUGGGCGUAAAGCGCGCGUAGGCGGACCUGCAAGUCGGGGGUGAAAGCCCGAGGCUCAACCUCGGGACUGCCUUCGAUACUGCGGGUCUCGAGUCCGGGAGAGGUGAGUGGAAUUCCUGGUGUAGCGGUGAAAUGCGCAGAUAUCAGGAAGAACACCCGUGGCGAAGGCGGCUCUCUGGGACGGUACUGACGCUGAGACGCGAAAGCGUGGGGAGCGAACAGG
Molecule: ribosomal RNA, 253 nt
Filed under: uncultured bacterium
Lineage: Bacteria
Description: partial 16S ribosomal RNA
Rfam family: Bacterial small subunit ribosomal RNA
Source: RNAcentral